UACGUAGGGUGCAAGCGUUAAUCGGAAUUACUGGGCGUAAAGUGUGCGCAGGCGGUGUUGCAAGUCUGGCGUGAAAGCCGCGGGCUCAACCUCCGAAUUGCGUUGGAGACUGCAAGGCUUGAGUCUGGGAGAGGGGAGCAGAAUUCCACGUGUAGCGGUGAAAUGCGUAGAGAUGUGGAGGAACACCGGUGGCGAAGGCAGCCCCCUG
RNAcentral lists this ribosomal RNA (208 nucleotides) under uncultured bacterium. Its description in RNAcentral is "partial 16S ribosomal RNA". It matches the Rfam family "Bacterial small subunit ribosomal RNA", at positions 524 to 731 of the family's 1533-position model. The record is from RNAcentral.